CACGUAGGGGGCAAGCGUUAAUCGGAAUUACUGGGCGUAAAGCGUGCGCAGGCGGUUCUAUAAGACAGAUGUGAAAUCCCCGGGCUCAACCUGGGAACUGCAUUUGUGACUGUAGAGCUGGAGUACGGCAGAGGGGGAUGGAAUUCCGCGUGUAGCAGUGAAAUGCGUAGAUAUGCGGAGGAACACCGAUGGCGAAGGCAAUCCCCUGGGCCUGUACUGACGCUCAUGCACGAAAGCGUGGGGAGCAAACAGG
RNAcentral lists this ribosomal RNA (253 nucleotides) under uncultured bacterium. RNAcentral describes it as "partial 16S ribosomal RNA". It matches the Rfam family "Bacterial small subunit ribosomal RNA", at positions 524 to 776 of the family's 1533-position model. The record is from RNAcentral.